Molecule: ribosomal RNA, 177 nt
Filed under: Dunaliella tertiolecta
Lineage: Eukaryota; Viridiplantae; Chlorophyta; Chlorophyceae; Chlamydomonadales; Dunaliellaceae
Description: partial Bacterial large subunit ribosomal RNA
Rfam family: Bacterial large subunit ribosomal RNA
Source: RNAcentral
GUAAAUGAUAGAGUAUAAUGACUAAGGUAGCAAAAUCCAUUGACGUUUAAUUGAUGUCGCGCAUGAAUGAUGUAACGAUUGUCUUGCUGUCUCCAACCUGGAUUCUGUGAAAUUGAAUUGCCCGUGCAGAUGCGGGAUACGUGUUAGAGGGACGAUAAGACCCCGCAGCACCUUAAC